AUUGAACGCUGGCGGCAGGCCUAACACAUGCAAGUCGAGCGGAUGAAGGGAGCUUGCUCCUGGAUUCAGCGGCGGACGGGUGAGUAAUGCCUAGGAAUCUGCCUGGUCGUGGGGGAUAACGUCCGGAAACGGGCGCUAAUACCGCAUCCGUCCUGAGGGAGAAAGUGGGGGAUCUUCGGACCUCACGCUAUCAGAUGAGCCUAGGUCGGAUUAGCUAGUUGGUGGGGUAAAGGCCUACCAAGGCGACGAUCCGUAACUGGUCUGAGAGGAUGAUCAGUCACACUGGAACUGAGACACGGUCCAGACUCCUACGGGAGGCAGCAGUGGGGAAUAUUGGACAAUGGGCGAAAGCCUGAUCCAGCCAUGCCGCGUGUGUGAAGAAGGUCUUCGGAUUGUAAAGCACUGUAAGUUGGGAGGAAGGGCAGUAAGUUAAUACCUUGCUGUUUUGACGUUACCAACAGAAUAAGCACCGGCUAACUUCGUG
This 484-nucleotide ribosomal RNA is filed under the name uncultured bacterium. Its description in RNAcentral is "partial 16S ribosomal RNA". It matches the Rfam family "Bacterial small subunit ribosomal RNA", at positions 30 to 507 of the family's 1533-position model. The record is from RNAcentral.